This 253-nucleotide ribosomal RNA is filed under the name uncultured bacterium. Its description in RNAcentral is "partial 16S ribosomal RNA". It matches the Rfam family "Bacterial small subunit ribosomal RNA", at positions 524 to 776 of the family's 1533-position model. The record is from RNAcentral.
UACAGAGGGGGCAAGCGUUGUUCGGAAUUACUGGGCGUAAAGGGCGCGUAGGCGGCCUUCUAAGUCGAACGUGAAAUCCCUGGGCUCAACCCAGGAACUGCGUCCGAUACUGGAAGGCUUGAAUCCGGGAGAGGGAUGCGGAAUUCCAGGUGUAGCGGUGAAAUGCGUAGAUAUCUGGAGGAACAUCGGUGGCGAAGGCGGCAUCCUGGACCGGUAUUGACGCUGAGGCGCGAAAGCCAGGGGAGCAAACGGG